Molecule: ribosomal RNA, 474 nt
Filed under: uncultured organism
Description: partial 16S ribosomal RNA
Rfam family: Bacterial small subunit ribosomal RNA
Source: RNAcentral
GUACAUCCUACGGGAGGCAGCAGUGGGGAAUUUUGGACAAUGGGCGAAAGCCUGAUCCAGCAAUGCCGCGUGAGUGAAGAAGGCCUUCGGGUUGUAAAGCUCUUUUGUCAGGGAAGAAACGGUGAGAGCUAAUAUCUCUUGCUAAUGACGGUACCUGAAGAAUAAGCACCGGCUAACUACGUGCCAGCAGCCGCGGUAAUACGUAGGGUGCAAGCGUUAAUCGGAAUUACUGGGCGUAAAGCGUGCGCAGGCGGUUUUGUAAGUCUGAUGUGAAAUCCCCGGGCUCAACCUGGGAAUUGCAUUGGAGACUGCAAGGCUAGAAUCUGGCAGAGGGGGGUAGAAUUCCACGUGUAGCAGUGAAAUGCGUAGAUAUGUGGAGGAACACCGAUGGCGAAGGCAGCCCCCUGGGUCAAGAUUGACGCUCAUGCACGAAAGCGUGGGGAGCAAACAGGAUUAGAUACCCCAGUAGUCCCA